GACGAACGCUGGCGGCGUGCUUAACACAUGCAAGUCGAACGGAAAGGCCCUGCUUUUGUGGGGUGCUCGAUUGGCGAACGGGUGAGUAACACGUGUGGAACCUGCACUUGUCUUUGUGAGAACUUCUGGAAACUGGGGCUCAUAUAGGAGAGGAUCUACUGCUGCAUGGUGUGGGAUGGAAAGUGUCGGCUGUUGGGGAUGUACUCGCUGCUUAUGAGCUUGUUUGUGGGGUAGUGGCUUACCAGGGUUUUGACGGGUAGCCGGCCUUAGAGCGUUAACGGCCACCAUGGGCCUGAGAGACGGAGCAGAAGCCUACGGGAGGCAGCAGUGGAGAAUAUGGCAGAACGGGGGGACGCCUGUGGUAGAAGCCCCGGGUGCGGGAUGCCGGCUUUCGGGUUAUAAACAGAUGUCGCAUGUGCCGAACAGUGAGUGACGGUAAUGGGUCAAGAAGCCCCGGCUAACUACGUG
RNAcentral lists this ribosomal RNA (468 nucleotides) under uncultured bacterium. RNAcentral's name for it is "partial 16S ribosomal RNA". It matches the Rfam family "Bacterial small subunit ribosomal RNA", at positions 28 to 507 of the family's 1533-position model. The record is from RNAcentral.